GAUGGAAGAACGUAGCGAAAUGCGAUACUUGGUGUGAAUUGCAGAAUCCCGUGAACCAUCGAGUCUUUGAACGCAAGUUGCGCCUCAAGCCAUUAGGUUGAGGGCACGUCUGCCUGUGCGUCACAUAUCGUUGCCUGAUGCCAGUUUCCUCGUGAUGGGUGACUGUGCAGGGCGAAUGAUGGCUUCCCGUGAGCAUUGUUGCCUCAUGGUUGGUUGAAAAUUGAGUCCUUGGUAGGGAGCGCCGUGAUAGAUGGUGGUUGAGUGACGAACGAGACCCAAUCAUGUGAGAACCCUACCGAAUUUGGCCUUCAUGAACCACAUGCGUCUUUGGAACGCUCAUGACGAGACCUCAGGUCAGGCGGGGCUACCCGCUGAGUUUAAGCAUAUCAAUAAGCGGAGGA
RNAcentral lists this unclassified non-coding RNA (401 nucleotides) under soil metagenome. RNAcentral describes it as "partial contains 5.8S ribosomal RNA, internal transcribed spacer 2, and large subunit ribosomal RNA". The stretch from base 5 to 123 matches the Rfam family "5.8S ribosomal RNA", at positions 38 to 154 of the family's 154-position model. The record is from RNAcentral.